This 6379-nucleotide long non-coding RNA is filed under the name Citrus maxima (pomelo). Its description in RNAcentral is "long non-coding RNA (CMAX_LNC002141)". Lineage: Eukaryota; Viridiplantae; Streptophyta; Magnoliopsida; Sapindales; Rutaceae. The record is from RNAcentral.
AAUUCAACGGCAUACUGGCAGUCAUGUUUAGCAGUGUUUCCACUGACAUAUUAUCGUAUUUAAACUUAGAAAAAGAUUUUGAUUCAAUUAUUUUCUCUAUGGUUGAGAUGCCCUGUACACAUCUUUGUAAGUCUUCAGGUUCCUUGAAGUAAUUGAAUGUGACAGACGGGUUAUCGUUCGGGUUACGGGUUCGGAGCUCCAAAUGGCCCGUGGAUACUGGGCCUAUAAUCUUUUCGAAAAUGAAUCCGCCUCUGUAAGGUCUUGGCGAUGGCGACCCACCGGCGAAGUUUACGCCACUUGCGCCUUCUAUGUAGCUUCCAAACUGGGUAAUUCCGACGACCUGGAGGAGGGAAACCUCCACCGGCACAGGGGACGGUACAAAAAUGGCAUUCAUGGGAUUAUCAGACAUCCCUUGACCAACCAAGGGCUGGUCCAACACAACCGUGAUAUUAUGGGCCUUGAGGUGUUCUGCUGGGCCCACUCCACUCAGCAUUAAAAGUUGUGGGCUUCCCAGUGCUCCAGCUGACACUAUGAUCUCAUUCUUAGGCCCAUUCCUUAGAUAUGCUAUGUGCUCGGCUUCUGUUGCAUCUCUGAAGACCACUCCAUGGGCCACUGGCCUUGCCUUUCCUGUUUAAAACUUCAAAAUGUCAGUCAAUCAUCAAGAUUGAUAGUAGUAGCCGACCAUAUGGUUGAUCUCUUGCGUGCAACACAUACCUUUAUUUCUGAACAGAAUCUUGUGCACAGAGGCAUGCAAGAGCACAGUGAGGCCACUGGGAUUAGCAUACUCCAACAAGUCAGCAGCUGUGUGUCUUUGGCUAUUUUGAUCAAUAAUUGUCCCGCCAAUCUUCGUGCCAUACAAAUGAUCGUAAGUGAAGCCAUUGUACGGCAACACCCCUACCUCCACCAGCCCAUCUCUCAGAGCCGACUGCCACCGCUGCAUCGGCGGCCUGAAUACCACCUUCUUCUCCACCCACUGGUAUGAUUCAUUCACUAAACGUCCAUCCCACCCCGCUUCUCUAAUUUAACAAAAGUAAAUAAAAUCAGGAAAAAAAAAUCAGUUCAGUAAAGAUUAGGGUUUAAAUUGAAGUUUAGCUCGUCGAUAAUAAUUUUAUACUCGAGCCCCCUUGCAUCUUAAAUUACUAAAUAAUGACGCUCUAAAGGCUGACGUUGCCACAUUGUAACCACUGCCGAAUGGUAAUUCACAAGCAUUACUACCAGUCAGUUACCUGGCAUAAUAAGGCUCAGCGCGUGUGUAGAAGCCGGCAUUGAUGCAAGUGCCGCCUCCUAAAACGCGGGCACGAGUACUGACGACGCCAUCUUCGGAGAUGAAGCGCUGCGAGGGAGAGGUUGGUGAGAGAUCAGCGAGUUCAGCGCUAAAAGAACCCGAGUUGGUGAUGUUGGGGUUUCCGUAAGGCGAGUCACCGCGUUCAAGUAGCAACACGGAGGCGUUUUGCGAGAGCGAGGCAGCUAACGGGCAGCCGGCGGUGCCACCUCCGAUGACGAUGUAGUCGUAGUAGGACACUGGUUUUGCUGCAGUUGCGUUGCGCAUGAAACUGUAGUUCGGAGCUGCUGUGUACACAAAAAGUGACGUAUAAAAUAUGGGGAUCAUAGAGAGGGUCCAGGUAUGUAACACACCACAUUCUUUUGUCUUUUCCUAAUCCAUCAUUAGAUUUAACUUAAAACAAGUGCAAUGGCUAAGAUGUUUAUGUUGGAUUAUUAACAUUAUACUCCCCAAUAUUUGCUACAAAAUUACAAAAGGAACAAAGCUUAAAAUAUUGACACAUAAAUCCACAAAUUUACAAUUUAUUAUUCAAUAGUAUUAAAACAUUUUAAUUAUAUUUUAAAUAUAAUUAAAUAAUGUAUUACUUAAUUAUAUUAUAACAUUUAAUAAGUAAAAAUUGAUUAUUAUUUAAUAAGCGAAUAAUAAUAAAUACUUAAAUAUGAUAAAAAAAUAAAAUUAUAACAUAAUAUUACAUUAUUUAAUUAUAUUAUAGUAAUUAAUAUAUAAAAUUGAUUAUUAUUUAACAACUUAAUAUAACUAAUAAUAAAUACUUAAAUAAUAUUUAAAAUAAAAAUAUAAUAUAAUAUUACGUUAUUUAAUUAUAUUAUAAUAUUAGUAUAUAAAAAUUUAUUAUUUUUUAAAUAUUUAAUAAAACAAAUAAUAAAUACUUAAAUAUUAAUAAUAUUCUAAAUAAUAAUAUUAAAUAUUAUUACUUAUACUAUAGUUAAUAUUGCACCAAACAUGAUAUUGUAUUACAGUUUAAUACACGUUAAUGACACACACCGUAAUACAAUGCAGCUAAUGUAAUACAAUAUAUUGUGUCAAAUGACCUUGUUAAUUUCACCGAUAAAUUAAUUUAUUCUUAUAUAUGAAUUAAUAUUUUUAAAUUAAUAGUCUUUCUUAUUAAUUAAUUAAUUUAAUAUAUAAUAAAACCAUGUAUUAAUUACAAACCAUAUUUUAUGAUAAAUAUGAGUAUGAAAUUGAUCUUUUGUUCUUAAUUUGUAGUUAAUAUUUGUUUCAUAAUACUUAUUCAAUUUGCAGUAAAAAAUUUCAAUAUGCAAUAAAAAUAUAUUAAUUCACCAAUUAAUACUUUUUUUAUUGUUUAAUAAGAAGGUAUCAAAAAGUUUAGAAGUUUUUAAUAAGAAUUUGGAGGCAAAGUCAUUUUAUGCUCCACACUUAUUUGAAAACGUUUUUCACAUCUCAUGUUUGAUAAAUUUGAGUUAGUGAUAGAAUUUAGUUGCUAAUUGCUAGAGAUGUGGAACUGAAACUAGUGGGCAUGUAAAGAAUCCAAUAAGUUUUUUUAUAUCAUUUUAAUUAAUUUAUUUAGUACGAAUAAAAAAUUAUUUUUAUCAAUAAUAUAUUUGACUUAGGUAAGUGUAUGGAGUAAAUUUUCUUUUUAAAACUUUGAAGAUGGGUGUGUGAAUUAAUAAUUAAAAAAUACCCUCACCUUUUGAUUUAAGUUUAAAAAAUCAAAAUAAGUAGGACUAAUGAGUCAAAAUUUAGUAUUAUCUGAUUAUUUUAUAAUUUUAGAAUAAAACAGGGAUUGCAGUGUAAUUAACCCAAAAGGACAAAAAAAGGUGGUAUGUUACUACUGUGGUAACAUAGUAGGAUCCGAGAUGAUAUAUUACUUUUUUCAAACAUGCAUGUGACAAAGUCAUGUGUGCACUUAUAUUAUUACGAUAAAAUUAACUGUAAAAAUCAAAGUAAAAUUGCCAAUUAAAUUAAUUUAUUACCUUUUUGACAUGCACAAAAGUCGUGAAAGAAGAGAAAUGUAGCAAGAGUAGCAACAAAUGACAGUCUCAAGCACCGAAGAUCCAUGAUUUGAUGAAAUAACAGCUCUCGGUGAGGCCUUUUGAUCAAUUAAUUAUACACACGCACACACAUAUAUAUAUAUAUAGGGGGAUUACUGUUGUCGAAUAAGAAGGCAACAAGCUUUGAUAUGGUGACGACAAAUUCUGCAUGCACAACGAUUUCUUGCUCACUUUGUCGGGAAAAUGAAAGCUAAAUUUCCUCAGAAGCGCACACAAAGAGUCAGAGAAAAUGCGAUGCCGCCAAGCCGGUGUCCGCGAAUUUUACACAAGCAACAUUGGAAUGAGCUACUAUUUAAUUUGCACAGAAUUGAGAGGUUGGAGAGAUAGAACUGAGUUUCAUUGAACAAAUGAAACUGAUGAAGCUCUAUUUAUUACUUCAGCUGAAUAUCAAGGUGCCUAUUUGUACAUGAAAUGAGACUAUGAGCGAGAGAAGCAGUCGAUACUUGUAAGUUGCGUGUGAGGGGGCUGAACCUUACAGAUGCUGUAAGGUAGCCCUCUCCUUUCACUAAGGCUACACCAACCAACUGAUACAACUCAUCACUAUUGCCAAUUAAUUACGCUUGAUAAUAUCUUCUAAUGCCUUGAUUUUUGGUACAUGUUUUUGGAAUUAAUGGAGAUUAUGAAAUUACGCCGACUGGUUGUACAAAAUUGUCUUGAUUUCUGGCCAUUAGAUUUUAUUGAUUAAUGAUAUUAGCAAACGGGAUACUUUUUAAUAAAACUCUCUUAUCAAUACUAUGAAGUAAUCUGAGUAUUUUAACUUGUUUUGAGCGUAAGUAUAUAAAUUGUGCCACUACAAAAUUGAUUUAGGAAAUUUUAAUAAAUAUUUCUAUUGUAAACAUCUGUAUGUAUGUCUGUAAUAUAAUAUUAGAAAAACCGAUAUAUGCAGACUUUGACAUCACAAAGUUAAUUAAGUUCUUAUAUAUAUAUAUAUAUAUAUGAUGGUAAACAUCAAUAUAUUUGUAAUGAAAAAUGAAAUAUAGGGGAAAAAUAAAAAUAUAAAUAUAAAUAUAAAAAGGUAUGGGGAAGAUAAGCUUAGGUUAAUGCGUGGGGUAGGGGGGACCGCAAGUUCAGCAUCAGUUGGAUGGAAUCUAAAUAAAUGAACUUCCCGGAAAUUUCAAGCAAUGCAUUGAUUACAAGCCACCAAUGUCUGUGGCUAAGAGUGUCACAAGAGCAUCUCCUCCUCCACGGGUAAAGAUCCUCUCCUUAUUUGAAUUUUUAUAAAUUUUUAAAAUUUUAUAUUAUAUGUGAUAAUGUAUAGAUAUAAUUUAACUUAUUUAUUUUGUUUUAUUAACUACUAAUCACAUAUAUAUAUUUUUACUUAGGAGAAGAUUAGAUCAUGAGAGAAUCUUGAUCCCUCCUCCACAGCCUGUGCUUUCGGUAGAUUAUACACAAUGAAAGCAGAACACGAUAAUUUCUCUGCUUGAUUAUGUGGUGCUUUUCCAUUUUUGAUUUCUUUGUUUAAUGUGCAGGUCUCGGUGCAUGUGCAAGAGAUCGUUAAAGAAUAUUUACUUCUAAAUGUAUAAUGUUGAAAGGAUUAGUAGUACAUAUAUAUAUCUUAAGAAAAAAGAAAUUAAGAACAUGUUAUUUUGGGUGUCUAGAUCUUAGCUGGUGCAAACAAAUAAAAGUUUCAUAUAAUUAACCAAAAAUGGGUCGAUAAAAGUGACAUUGGCAUGACGAGAAGCUUUUGAUUAGUGUCAACGCACUCUCCACCAGAAAUGGCUGCAAAAGUGACAAUUAAUAUUUCUAUUACUUUAACAUUACAUUUAUUUUUGGGAUCAUCUUUUGCGGCGACUUACGUGCCCAUUCUGAAAUGACACACCUCUGGAACACCAUAUAAUUAUUUACUCGUUCUCUUUGAGGAUGAGAUGGUCUUGUCGUUAUCAAAAUUAUGAUGGGUCAAUUUGAGAGUAAGAGUGUGUAAUAAAAUUCUUUGAAGACACUGUUAAGUCUUUUAUAUACUAGAAAGCACAUAGAUACGUCAUACACUGUAUAAUGUUGUUCGGUACUCAUAAAUUUUCAUUCAUGACCCUUAAAAUAUUGAUGAUGUAUUAUAUAUGAAUUUACAAUCUAAAAAUUUAGCGUGUCAACAAUAAUAAAAUUUUGGGCAUAUAACCAGAUUUUUUAGGAUGUAGUGAGGGCACUGCACCAAACUUAGGAUACCAUAUUUCUCAAAUAAAGAUUUUAUUUUAUUUUUUAAAAAAAAAUUGAGUAACAUAAAACUUUGCAUUUUCCGAAAAUAAAACCACCUUCAAACUCACUUUCCAUAAAUGUAGUUUAUUAACUUUUAUUUAUUUAUUACAAAUUCAAUAAAACUCACAAAAUUCAAAUAUUCCCUUUUAUUAUUAUUUUUUUUAAAAGUUCAAAUCAACGAAAAAAAAAAAUCAAAUUAACAUAUAUAUAUGAUGAUGAUUGACAUUACUUUGAACCGUUACUUGCAAGUCUCUCACUCAGAAUCCUGACUCCCAUGUACCUGCAACAUAUCAUAACACAACAAAUUAAUUAAACCUCACAGAAACUUACCAAAAUCUUGCUUACGUAUUUGCUUGUGGUCAGGUUAACGUACCUUCCAAGCAUCAUGACCGUUGCUUGCGGAUUAGUCCCCGGGGAGUAAUAAAACGUGGAUCCGUCGAUGACCCUCAAUGCAUCGACCCCAAGAACCUUAUAAUCAUGAUCAACAACCUUACCAACUUGGCAACCUCCAUGAUAAUGCCAUAUGGUCAUCACUGUGUCCCUGCAAAAUUGUUCCAGUGAUGUUGAUGCAUUGCUGUGUCUGGGCAGCAAAUUGACCGGGGCACUGGCAGUCAUGUUUACCAGUGUUGGCACUGACAUACUCUCGUAUUUAAACUUAGAAAAAGAUUUUGAUUCAAUUAUUUUCUCUAUGGUUGAAAUGCCCUGUACACAUCUUUGUAAGUCUUCAGGUUCCUUGAAGUAAUUGAACGUGACGGACGGGUUAUCGUUCGGGUUUCGGGUUCGGAGCUCCAAAUGUCCCGUGGAUACUGGGCCCAUAACCUUUUCGAGAAUGAAUCCGCCUCUGAAAGCUGGAUCAUCAAGUGCUUUCAUGUUUUCA